GGGCAGCUAGCUCAGUUGGUUAGAGCGCCACGUUCACACCGUGGAGGUCACAGGUUCGAGUCCUGUGCUGCCCA
This 74-nucleotide transfer RNA is filed under the name Planctomycetaceae bacterium. RNAcentral's name for it is "tRNA-Val". It matches the Rfam family "tRNA". From Rfam's summary of the family: Transfer RNA (tRNA) molecules are approximately 80 nucleotides in length. Their secondary structure includes four short double-helical elements and three loops (D, anti-codon, and T loops). Lineage: Bacteria; Pseudomonadati; Planctomycetota; Planctomycetia; Planctomycetales; Planctomycetaceae. The record is from RNAcentral. RNAcentral also lists the same sequence under 3 other names.